GGGUAACGUGUUUUGAGUUUGGAAUUCUUCAGGGGUAAAGUGUUUUGAGUUUGGAAUUCCUCAGGGGUAAAGGAUUUUGAGCUUGGAAUUCUUCAGGGGUAAAGUGUUUUGAGUUUGGAAUUCUUCAGGGGUAAUGUGUUUUGAGUUUGGAAUUCUUCAGGGGUAAAGUGUUUUGAGUUUGGAAUUCCUCAGGGGUAAAGGAUUUUGAGCUUGGAAUUCUUCAGGGGUAAAGGAUUUUGAGCUUGGAAUUCUUCAGGGGGGUAAAGUGUUUUGAGCUUGGAAUUCUUCAGGGGUAAAGUGUUUUGAGUUUGGAAUUCUUCAGGGGUAAAGGAUUCGAGCUUGGAAUUCUUCAGGGGUAAAGAGGUUUGAGAUUGAAAUUUUUCGGAGUUUGGAAUUCUUCAGGGGUAAAGUGUUUUGAGUUUGGAAUUCUUCAGGGGUAAAGGAUUUUGAGCUUGGAAUUCUUCAGGGGUAAAGUGUUUUGAGUUUGGAAUUCUUCAGGGGUAACGGAUUCGAGCUUGGAAUUCUUCAGGGGUAAAGAGGUUUGAGAUCGAAAUUUUUCAGAGUUUGGAAUUCUUCAGGGGUAAAGUGUUUUGAGUUUGGAAUUCUUCAGGGGUAGAGUGUUUUGAGCUUGGAAUUCUUCAGGGGUAAAGGAUUUUGAGCUUGGAAUUCUUCAGGGGUAUAACUAUGAAAAACAUGUAUCCUCGACAGGGGGGGUACGGAUAUUAAAUGGAAUAGCCCAUUUCAAAAG
This is a non-coding RNA of Paramuricea clavata, 748 nucleotides long. Lineage: Eukaryota; Metazoa; Cnidaria; Anthozoa; Malacalcyonacea; Plexauridae. The record is from the annotation of a GenBank genome assembly.